This 1085-nucleotide long non-coding RNA is filed under the name Sorghum bicolor (sorghum). RNAcentral describes it as "long non-coding RNA (SBIC_LNC014819)". The record is from RNAcentral. Lineage: Eukaryota; Viridiplantae; Streptophyta; Magnoliopsida; Poales; Poaceae.
GGCCUAAAUUUCUGCUCCCAUACUAAGGCCUUGUUUAGUUUUAAAUUCUUUUUGCAAAAUAGACACUAUAGUAUUUUUGUUUGUAUUUAACAAAUAUUGUCUAAUUAUAGAUUAACUAGACUCAAAAGAUUCAUCACGCAAAUUACAUGUAAAUUGUGUAACUAGUUAAAUUUUUAUCUAUAUUUAAUGCUCUAUGCAUGUGUCGUAAGAUUCGAUGUGAUGUGGAAUUUAAAAAUUUUAUAAUUUAUAAAAUUUUUUGGAACUAAACAAGGCCUAACCAAAAAGUGUCAUGAGAAAAGUGGAGACCAGGGCUCAACACAUGUAUAGCAUCCAGGAGUGGACACAGCUCAACAGUCAACAUGCAGCAGUGCGUGGAGGACUGUUUCAUUGAUUUGCGUGCGAAACUAAUUAAAAGAAACUCAUAACUACCAAACCGAGUAUCUAAAUAAAAUUCUGAUUGCACAAUUAUAUUUCUUAUAAUAAAUGCUUCAAAACAAGAUUCCACAUGAAUAUAUUUAGAUAAAUUUUAGUUCUGAACAUUAAUUUUACAAAGAUAGAACAUUUUUUAUUAGGCAGAAACAAUGUUCUAGGUUCAGAGAAUAAUGUUCUACCUUUGUAAAACAAUGUUCUCCUUUUUAAAAAUAGUAUUCUAGUUUUUAGGAUAAAGAAAUAGUAUUAAAUAUACAUAAAAAUAAGAAUAUAACAUAAACAAAUAAUAUAAAAUCUGGAGCACAAUAUAGGAAAAAAAAUAAAAAACACCUAACAGAAAACAAUUUAAAAGAACAUCAUGUUGUGUUGCCAUGGCCCAUGGACAACAUUGCACAUCCUUUGUUCCAGAAAUUAAUUAGCAUAGGGCAUGCAUGCACAAACUAGAAAAAAAUCAUAACUACUAAACCAAAUAUUCAACUUAAAUUCUGAUUACAUCAUCAUAUUUUUUGCAAUGAAACAUUUAAAAUAAGAUCCCACAUGAAUAUAUUUAUGUAAAUUUUUAUUAAUGAACAUUAUCUUAUUCUCAAAAGAGAAAACAAGAAAUAGGUAAAGCUUCUAGUAAUGUGUUCACAUGGAUAACUUGUUCCAACAGUACU